AAAGCAGUCGGUGGAUGCCUUGGAUGUAUUAGCCGAAGAAGGACGUGCCAGGCCACGAUAGGCGUCGGGGAGCUGCCAAGAAGCUGUGAUCCGGCGGUGUCCGAAUGGGAAAACCUCCUCAUUAGUAAUAGUGGGGGCCCCGACAGCGCAAGCUUGUCGGGGGGGGAACCCGGGGAACUGAAAUAUCUAAGUACCCGGAGGAAAAGAAAUUAAAUAAGAUGCCGUCAGUAGCGACGAGCGAAAGCGGUCUAGUCCAAACUCCGACAUUACGUCGGAGGGUUGUAGGGCUCCAAUAUGGGACUACGAGAGAUAGUCGAACAACUCGGAAUAGUUGGCCAAAGAAAGUGAAAGCCUUGUAGAUGAAAUUUUGAGUAGCUCUAGGAGAUUCCUGAGUACCACGAGAGACGGCAAACUCUUGUGGGAAGCCGGGGCGACCACGCUCCAAGACUAAAUACUAAUACAUACCGAUAGUGAACAAGUACCGUGAGGGAAAGGUGAAAAGAAGGGUCGAUGACCCAGUGAAAUAGUACCUGAAACCGAUUGCUAACAAACAGUGGGAGGGCCGACGUAAGUCGAGCCUGACCGCGUGCCUAUUGAAGAAUGAGCCGGCGAGUCUUUGCUGGUGGCAAGGUUAAGUCGCUUGAAGCGACGGAGCCAUAGUGAAAGCGAGCCUGAAUAGGGCGAUUAGUUGCCAGCAGAGGACCCGAAGCCGAGCGAUCUAUUCAUGAGCAGGGUGAACCUCGAGUGAUAUCGGGGGGAAGCCCGAACCUGUGUAUGUUGCAAAAUGCUAGGAUGACUUGUGAAUAGAGGUAAUAUGCCAAACGAGCUCGGAGAUAGCUGGUUCUCCCCGAAAUAUAUUUAGGUAUAGCCUUUCCUUAUUUAGGCGCAGGGGUAAAGCACUGGAUGGGCAUUAGGGACUUGUCUCUGAUGCUCAACCAAACUCUGAAUACUGCGUUGAUAACGGAAGGAGUCAGUUGCUGGGGGCUAAGCUCCAGCCGCAAAAGGGAAACAACCCAGAUCUCCAGCUAAGGUCUCUAAAUCACUUGCUUAGUUUGUAAGGAGGUCGUAGUCCUUAGACAGCCAGGAAGUCGGCUUAGAAGCAGCCAUCUUUGAAAGAAAGCGUAACAGCUCACUGGUUGACGGAAGACGGCGCCGAAAAUUUAUCGAGGAUAAAGCAGUGUACCGAAGCUGAGACCCCGACAGCGCAAGCUUGUCGGGGGGUAGGGGAGCGUUCUAAGGGCAGUGAAGGGCCGAUGUAAAUCGCGCCUGGAGCGCUUAGAAGUGAGAAUGCCGGCAUGAGUAGCGGAACUCCGGUGAGAAUCCGGAGGGUCGAAAGUCCGAGGUUUCCUACGCAACGUUCGUCGGCGUAGGGUUAGUCGGGCCUAAGGCAAGCCCCGUGUAGUGCGGGGGUAGUCGAUGGACAACAGGUUAAUAUUCCUGUACCGGUGACCAAUCGUUAUUCCCGACGCAAGUCGGGAUAAACAGCUGGGGUGGGACGGAAUUUGAGAAGUCGAGCGUCUUAUUGAUUUGACGUCUAAAAGGCGAGUCAGUCCCGAUGUGAAAAUCAGUCGGGACGACGGCGAGUCUUGAUGGAGAGUUCUCCUUUGGGAGAGCAAUUCGACCGGCUUAAGUUUCCGAGAAAAGCAUCGCAGCGAGAAGGGUCACCGCCCGUACCGCAAACCGACACAGGUGGACAAGUCGAGUAGACUAAGAUCAGCGGAAGAACGGUGGUUAAGGAACUCGGCAAAUUAGCUGGGAGUAAUUUUGAGAGAUUCCCUGUCCGACGUUACGUCGGACCGCAGCGAAAGAGUGCCAAGCGACUGUUUAACAAAAACACAGGUCUAUGCAAAGGCGCAAGCCUAGGUAUAUGGGCUGAAACCUGCCCAAUGCCGGAAGGUUAAUUGAGAGGGUGACGUCCGACUUCGGUCGUGACCGAGCCUUCGAUCGAAGCCCCGGUGAAUGGCGGCUUUAACUAUAAGAGUCCAAAGGUAGAAUCGCUGCCUUUGUAAAAUUUUGCUAUAUGCUGGAAACUCCGAGAAUCUUGAACUACUGCCUGUUUAUGUGUAAUACUACACAUAAUGGGAAGUAAAAAAGUUACAAGUGCGGACAAUCAGCAGGAAAGGCUAAAAACGAUUGGUUGGAUAGUUGGUUUCACAGAUGGUGAUGGUUGUUUUUGUAUUUCGAUAAACAAAAACCACAGAUUAAAACUUGGUUGGCAAGUGGUUCCUGAGUUUGUAAUAACUCAAGGAGAGAAAAGCCUAGAGAGCUUAAAACUUGUUAAAAAGUUUUUUAAAUGUGGAAGAAUCUUUAUUAAUCGAAGACAUGACAACCAUAAGGAAGACCUUCAUAGAUAUUGCGUGAGAAGUAUAGCUGACUUAGAAGAAAAGAUAAUUCCUUUCUUUGAGAAAAAUCAGUUAAAAACCUACAAAAGAAAAUCAUUUGAGACUUGGAGUAAAGCAGUGAAGUUGAUGAUAAACAAAAGACUUCAUUUAAGUAUGAAAGGGAUUAGAAAGUUAGCAGAAAUGUCAGCGGAGAUAAACCAACAGAAACGACCAAAGUUUUUAGAAUCCUCAGAGACUAUACGCAGAAGUCCCGCUAAGCGGGAUAAGAUAUAGUCCGAUCUCAUAAGCGAUUAUGAGUUAACAUUAUUAAGAGCGAAGUACCUUGUCGGGUAAGUUCCGACGCGCACGAAAGGUGUAACGACUUGGCAACUGUCUUGACCACUGAUCCGGUGAAAUUGAAAUGGCUGUGAAGAUGCGGCCUAUUGACUGCAGGACAAAAAGACCCCGUGGAGCUUUACUAUAACUUGACAUUGGUUUAUUUAAGUUGAUCGUCUAGGAUAGGCGGGACCCCGACUUUAUGUCGGGGGCCAGUGUAAUACCGCUCGUUAACUUGAGUAAAUCUA
RNAcentral lists this ribosomal RNA (2905 nucleotides) under Candidatus Beckwithbacteria bacterium GW2011_GWA2_47_25. RNAcentral's name for it is "bacterial LSU rRNA". It matches the Rfam family "Bacterial large subunit ribosomal RNA", at positions 14 to 2224 of the family's 2925-position model. Lineage: Bacteria; Candidatus Beckwithiibacteriota. The record is from RNAcentral.